CCAAAAUAGCAAUGAGUUGAAAUCCCAAGACUUGUAAUUGUGGAAAUCGUAAACGAUGACCGUAAGAAGCGCCAACAACAGGGCAGCCGUCGCGAGAAGGCUUAGCCACGCUAUCGACCGAAACGUCUUAAUAAAUAACUGUAUCUCCCUCCUUCGUACAAACAAUCCACCAUGAUAUGAGCCGUGUACGUAAAUAUGAUCGGGACGAGUAUAAACCCCAGAGCUCCGGCGAGUCCCCCUCGUGCUACUGCGUACGAAAAUCAUCAGUGUCGCAUGGCGAGCUUCGAUAAGCACCUAUGGCGUCACGGUUAAUUGAAUUAAAGGGCUGGGAUCCAUCGGCAAGUCAUGUCAACAGUCGAUGAUGUAGACGUCUUCCACCAUCUGAUGUGUCUAGGAAUAGCUAUUGGCGCGCUGAUUUCCCCGACAGAUCUAAGCGAGAUUUGUGAUAAACUAAACCAGGCAAAGGCAUCCCAUACCACAGCGUAUACCAAGCCCACGUUUAGUGCAUUAAGAGACCAAACACAGGUAUACCAAGCCCUUUGUGCAUUACGAGACCAGGCACAGGUAUACCAAGCCCACGUUUUGUGCAAUAAGAGACCAAGCACACACUGUAAAACCGGAAUGGUUAAAUCAACCAAAAAAAAUUGGUUAAAAUUUGAUUCUGUGGUAACCAAUUUAGAACUGGUUGUUUGAACCAGUUUUAAAUGGUUGUUUUAUUUGGUUAAUUUAACCAAUAUGUAAUUGGUUAUUUUCACUAUAGUAAAUGGUUAUUCCAACCAAUAUACAUUGGUUAUUUUACCAAUAAAUAUUGGUUAAUUCAACCAUAAAAAAUGGUUAAACAAAUGAGUCUGUGGUAACCAAAUAAAAUUGGUUAAAAAAGCAGGAUUUAACCAAUUAUAAAUUGGUUCAAAUAACUAACUCUGUCAAGAAAUGACCAGUAAACUUUUGGUUAAAACUACCACACAAGAAUUAUGACAGUAGAUGCGACUUUAAUCAAAGAAUUAUACAAGUUUCAGCCAACAAGAAUAUACAAACUAAUGAAAAUACCAAGUACUCUAGGUACAUCUUGAUUGUAGGAGAGACAUGGUUGUUUUCUUUUACAUAAUUUUAGGUUUUUUAUAUUUCAUAAACAGUAAAGUACAGUAAUGCAGCCUAAUUUUCCCCUUUGUGAUUUGUCAAGAAAGGCCACCAUUUUUUGUGGGUCCACCAAACUAGAUUUUGGUGAAGUACAAAAAUUAUUUUUGCUUAGCUCUUGAGUUAGAGUUUUAAUCUAUGGGAUCUGAGAAACAAAAAAGUUGGCCUAAUAAUAAGCUUUAAAGACAUUCCUGUUUUGCCGUACUGAUCUCUGUAGCAAACAUGGGGACUUAUCUAUAAGUUGGAAUGCUGCUUGAAACAGUACUUCAGGACACCAUGAAGCUAAUGUUCUGAAGCAACAAAGCAUAAAUCUUAGAACUAGCAGAAUGGCACAAAAAACUGAUCACACAGCACACGAUACACUCAAACUAGCAUUCAACACAUAUUGAUUUAAAGAUAGGCUUCUAUUUUAUAAUACACAUAGUAAUUCAAUGUGUAUAAAGGGUUUAAAAAUUAAGUAGAGCACUACUAACUUGAAUUCUAAAGGAGACAAAAGAGGCCUGAGUAAUAAAGGGUUUGGAAUUACCUUGGUCAAUUUAAAAAGUUAUUUCUAUACAUAUGUUUACACAUAAAAACUAAAACAAAGCUAGUGGUGAGUUUGAGUUAUAUCAGUUUUAAGAGUUAUCAGUUAAAAUUUCUAAAUAAUCUAGUUAUUUCAGCUAGAGUAAUCAGGAAUCUUCUUAUAUUUCUAUGUUUGCAUAGUGCUGCCUUGACAAAUGUUGCUCUUAAGGACAUACAAAUAUGUUUGUCAAUAAUUGAAAUCACUGCCAUGCAAGCAUGCUUUACAAUGUGGCUAAAACAUUUUUAUAAAACGUGAGCAUGUGCACUUGCUAUGAUUACUUAAGAUUAAAGAUGUUCUUAGGAAUUUCAUGCUCUGAAUUGUUAAGUAAGAAGCCUGCAAUAUGUGAAUGUUUCAUGGAAAUGUUUGAUCCCAUUCAAAUGUAAGGGAAUUGUAGAAUGAAGUGCCAUGUUGUACAACUGGUCAGGCCUUAAGAGCAUAGCUGCCAAUCUAACU
Nematostella vectensis (starlet sea anemone) is the source of this 2149-nucleotide long non-coding RNA. RefSeq lists it as uncharacterized. The record is from RefSeq and is a predicted model, not a curated record. The transcript is spliced from 3 exons. Lineage: Eukaryota; Metazoa; Cnidaria; Anthozoa; Actiniaria; Edwardsiidae.